RNAcentral lists this ribosomal RNA (318 nucleotides) under uncultured bacterium. RNAcentral's name for it is "bacterial SSU rRNA". It matches the Rfam family "Bacterial small subunit ribosomal RNA", at positions 28 to 334 of the family's 1533-position model. The record is from RNAcentral.
GAUGAACGCUAGCGAUAGGCUUAACACAUGCAAGUCGAGGGGCAGCAUAUUCGAAGCUUGCUUUGAAUGAUGGCGACCGGCGCACGGGUGCGUAACGCGUAUGUAACCUGCCUGUCAGAAGGGAAUAACCCGGUGAAAGUCGGACUAAUACCCUAUAUGCUCACGAGAGGCACCCUGCCUUGGUGAGAAAAGAUUUAUCACUGGCAGAUGGACAUGCGUCCCAUUAGCUUGUUGGUAGGGUAACGGCCUACCAAGGCAACGAUGGAUAGGGGAGCUGAGAGGCUUAGUCCCCCACAUUGGGACUGAGACACGGCCCAA